Molecule: ribosomal RNA, 623 nt
Filed under: crenarchaeote SCGC AAA001-G21
Lineage: Archaea; Thermoproteati; Thermoproteota
Description: SSU rRNA
Rfam family: Archaeal small subunit ribosomal RNA
Source: RNAcentral
AAGCACGACAAGGUUAAUCCGAGUGAUUUCUGCUAAAGAAAUCUUUUGCCAGUCGUAAAACCACUGGUGAAUAAGGGGUGGGCAAGUUCUGGUGUCAGCCGCCGCGGUAAAACCAGCACCUCAAGUGGUCAGGAUGAUUAUUGGGCCUAAAGCAUCCGUAGCCGGCUUUGUAAGUUUUCGGUUAAAUCCAUGUGCUCAACGCAUGGGCUGCCGAAAAUACUGCAUAGCUAGGGAGUGGAAGAGGUAGACGGUACUCAGUAGGUAGGGGUAAAAUCCUUUGAUCUAUUGAUGACCACCUGUGGCGAAGGCGGUCUACCAGAACACGUUCGACGGUGAGGGAUGAAAGCUGGGGGAGCAAACCGGAUUAGAUACCCGGGUAGUCCCAGCUGUAAACGAUGCAGACUCGAUGAUGCAUUGGCAUAAUAGCCAUUGCAGUGUCGCAGGGAAGCCGUUAAGUCUGCCGCCUGGGAAGUACGUACGCAAGUAUGAAACUUAAAGGAAUGGCGGGGGAGCACCACAAGGGGUGAAGCCUGCGGUUCAAUUGGAGUCAACGCCAGAAAUCUUACCCGGAGAGACAGCAGAAUGAAGGUCAAGCUGAAGACUUACCAGACAAGCUGAGAGAG